UUUAGACUGGAACAACUUACCGAAAGGUGAGCUAAUGCCGGAUGAGUUAUAUAAGUGCAUGUUUAUAUAGGAAAAGUUGGGGAGACCUGACGCUGAAAGAUGGACUCGCGUCCCAUUAGCUAGUUGGUAGGGUAAUGGCCUACCAAGGCGACGAUGGGUAGCCGGCCUGAGAGGGUGGCCGGCCACACUGGGACUGAGACACGGCCCAGACUCCUACGGGAGGCAGCAGUGGGGAAUUUUGCGCAAUGCUCGUAAGAGUGACGCAGCGACGCCGCGUGAAUGACGAAGGCCUUCGGGUCGUAAAGUUCUUUCGACAGGGAAGAAAAUGCCUAUAAGUAACUGUGUAUGUAUUGACGGUACCUGUAUAAGCAGCCCCGGCUAACUCCGUGCCAGCAGCCGCGGUAAUACGGAGGGGGCGAGCGUUGUUCGGAGUGACUGGGCGUAAAGAGCACGUAGGCGGUGUUGUAAGUCAUUAGUCAAAGACUAGAGCUCAACUUUAGUAAGGCUAGUGAUACUAUAAUACUAGAGUAUCAGAGAGGAUUGCAGAAUUCCUGGUGUAGCGGUGAAAUGCGUAGAUAUCAGGAGGAAUACCGUUAGCGAAGGCGGCAAUCUGGCUGGAAACUGACGCUGAGGUGCGAAAGCGUGGGUAGCAAACAGGAUUAGAUACCCUGGUAGU
Molecule: ribosomal RNA, 676 nt
Filed under: uncultured bacterium
Lineage: Bacteria
Description: bacterial SSU rRNA
Rfam family: Bacterial small subunit ribosomal RNA
Source: RNAcentral